This 1370-nucleotide ribosomal RNA is filed under the name metagenome. RNAcentral's name for it is "bacterial SSU rRNA". It matches the Rfam family "Bacterial small subunit ribosomal RNA", at positions 72 to 1440 of the family's 1533-position model. The record is from RNAcentral.
CGGGUGAUUUGUUGGGCGUCGGGCGGCGGACGGGUGAGUAGUGCCUGGGAAAUUGCCCUGAUGUGGGGGAUAACCAUUGGAAACGAUGGCUAAUACCGCAUAACGUCUACGGACCAAAGAGGGGGACCUUCGGGCCUCUCGCUUCAGGAUAUGCCCAGGUGGGAUUAGCUAGUUGGUGAGGUAAUGGCUCACCAAGGCGACGAUCCCUAGCUGGUCUGAGAGGAUGAUCAGCCACACUGGAACUGAGACACGGUCCAGACUCCUACGGGAGGCAGCAGUGGGAAUAUUGCACAAUGGGCGCAAGCCUGAUGCAGCCAUGCCGCGUGUAUGAAGAAGGCCUUCGGGUUGUAAAGUACUUUCAGCAGUGAGGAAGGUUCAUGCGUUAAUAGCGCAUGGAUUUGACGUUAGCUGCAGAAGAAGCACCGGCUAACUCCGUGCCAGCAGCCGCGGUAAUACGGAGGGUGCGAGCGUUAAUCGGAAUUACUGGGCGUAAAGCGCAUGCAGGUGGUUUGUUAAGUCAGAUGUGAAAGCCCGGGGCUCAACCUCGGAACCGCAUUUGAAACUGGCAGGCUAGAGUACUGUAGAGGGGGGUAGAAUUUCAGGUGUAGCGGUGAAAUGCGUAGAGAUCUGAAGGAAUACCAGUGGCGAAGGCGGCCCCCUGGACAGAUACUGACACUCAGAUGCGAAAGCGUGGGGAGCAAACAGGAUUAGAUACCCUGGUAGUCCACGCCGUAAACGAUGUCUACUUGGAGGUUGUGGCCUUGAGCCGUGGCUUUCGGAGCUAACGCGUUAAGUAGACCGCCUGGGGAGUACGGUCGCAAGAUUAAAACUCAAAUGAAUUGACGGGGGCCCGCACAAGCGGUGGAGCAUGUGGUUUAAUUCGAUGCAACGCGAAGAACCUUACCUACUCUUGACAUCCAGAGAACUUAGCAGAGAUGCUUUGGUGCCUUCGGGAACUCUGAGACAGGUGCUGCAUGGCUGUCGUCAGCUCGUGUUGUGAAAUGUUGGGUUAAGUCCCGCAACGAGCGCAACCCUUAUCCUUGUUUGCCAGCACGUAAUGGUGGGAACUCCAGGGAGACUGCCGGUGAUAAACCGGAGGAAGGUGGGGACGACGUCAAGUCAUCAUGGCCCUUACGAGUAGGGCUACACACGUGCUACAAUGGCGCAUACAGAGGGCUGCCAACCAGCGAUGGUGAGCGAAUCCCAAAAAGUGCGUCGUAGUCCGGAUUGGAGUCUGCAACUCGACUCCAUGAAGUCGGAAUCGCUAGUAAUCGUGAAUCAGAAUGUCACGGUGAAUACGUUCCCGGGCCUUGUACACACCGCCCGUCACACCAUGGGAGUGGGCUGCAAAAGAAGUGGGUAGUUUAACC